Molecule: long non-coding RNA, 8174 nt
Filed under: Capsella rubella
Lineage: Eukaryota; Viridiplantae; Streptophyta; Magnoliopsida; Brassicales; Brassicaceae
Description: long non-coding RNA (CRUB_LNC000461)
Source: RNAcentral
UCCAAAAUGGGCUAAGAACCCACAACCAUUGCUUUGAAGCAUUAAAUGGCUUGUAUAGUAUUGUUUGGGGUUAGAAUAUGUUAGAAUACAAUAAAUUUGAUUGAUUACAAGUGCUAGAGGUGCAUGAAGAGUGUUUAGAAGUGUGGAGAAAGACUUGUUGAAAUUGGGUCCCAAAUGGGAUAAGAACUAGGACACAUUGCGUUGAACCACUAAAUAACUUAUCUAGGGUUGUUUGGCGUUAGAAUAUGUUAGAAUACAAUGAAGUUGAUUGAUUACUAGUGCUAGAGAUACAUGAAGAGAGUUUAAAAGUGUAUGGAAAGACUUGCUGAAAUUUGGCCCAAAAUGGGCUAAGAACCCACAACCAUUGCUUUGAAGAAUUAAAUGGCUUGUCUAGUGUUGUUUGGAGUUAGAAUAUGUUAGCAUACAAUAAAUUUGAUUGAUUACAAGGGCUAGAGGUGCAUGAAGAGUGUUUAGAAAUGUGGCGAAAGACUUGUUGAAAUUAGGUCUCAAAUGCGCUAAGAACUAGAAAACAUUGCGUUGAACCAAUAAAUGACUUAUCUAGUGUUGUUUGGGAUUAUAAUAUGUUAGAAUACAAUGAAGUUGAUUGAUUACAAGUGCUAGAGAUACAUGAAGAGUGUUUAAAAGUGGGUAGAAAGACUUGCUGAAAUUUGGUCCAAAAUGGGCUAAGAACCCACAACCAUUGCUUUGAAGAAUUAAAUGGCGUGUCUAGUGUUUUUUGGGGUUAGAAUAUGUUAGCAUACAAUAAAUUUGAUUGAUUACAAGGGCUAGAGGUGCAUGAAGAGUGUUUAGAAGUGUGGAGAAAGACUUGUUGAAAUUGGGUCCCAAAUGGACUAAUAACUCGGAAACAUUGCGUUGAACCACUAAAUGACUUAUCUAGUGUUGUUUGGGGUUAGAAUAUGUUAGAAUACAAUGAAGUUGAUUGAUUACAAGUGCUACAGAUACAUGAACAGUGUUUACAAGUGUGGAGGAAGACUUGCUGAAAUUUGGUCCAAAAUAGGAUAAAAUCCACAACCAUUGCUUUGAAUAAUAAAAUGGCUUGUCUAAUGUUUUUUGGGGUUGGAAUAUGUUAGAAUACAAUAAAUUUGAUUAAUUCCAAGUGCUAGAGGUGCAUGAAGAGUGUUUAGAAGUGUGGAGAAAGACUUGUUGAAAUUAGGUCCCAAAUGAGCUAAGAACUAGGAAACAUUGCGUUGAACCACUAAAUGACUUAUCUAGUGUUGUUUAGGGUUAGAAUAUGUUAGAAUUCAAUAUACUUGAUUGAUUUCAAGUGCUAGAGAUGCAUGAAGAGUGUUUAAAAGUAUGUAGAGAGACUUGCUGAACCCACAACCAUUGCUUUGAAGCAUUAAAUGGCUUGUAUAGUGUUGUUUGGGGUUAGAAUAUGUUAGAAUACAAUAAAUUUGAUUGAUUAAAAGUGCUAGAGAUGCAUGAACUGAUUUUAGAAGUGUGGAGAAAGACUUGUUGAAAUUGGGUCCGAGAUGGGCUAAAAACUCGGAAACAUUGCGUUGAACCACUAAAUGACUUAUUUAGUGUUUGUUUGGGGUUAGAAUUUGUUAGUAUACAAUGAAGUUAAUUGAUUACAAGUAAUAGAGAUAGAUAAAGAGUGUUUAAAAGUGUGUAGAAAGAUUUGCUGAAAUUUGGUCCAAAAUGGGAUAAGAACCCACAACCAUUGCUUUGNNNNNNNNNNNNNNNNNNNNNNNNNNNNNNNNNNNNNNNNNNNNNNNNNNNNNNNNNNNNNNNNNNNNNNNNNNNNNNNNNNNNNNNNNNNNNNNNNNNNUGGGUCGCAAAUGGGCUAAGAAAUCGGAAACAUUGCGUUGAACCACUAAAUGACUUAUCUAGUGUUGUUUGGGGCUAUGAUAUGUUAGAAUACAAUGAAUUUGAUUGAUUGCAAGUGCUAGAGAUGCAGGAAGAGUGUUUAAAAGUGUGUAGAGAGACUUGCUGAAAUUUGGGCCAAAAUGGGCUAAGAACUCACAACCAUUGCUUUGAAGAAUUAAAUGGAAUGUCUAAUGUUGUUUGGUGUUAUAAUAUGUUAGAAUACAAUAAAUUUGAUUAAUUACAAGUGCUAUAGGUGCAUGAAGAGUGUUUCGAAGUGUGGAGAAAGACUUGUUUAAAUUGGGUCCCAAAUGGGCUAAAAACUCGGACACAUUGCGUUGAACCACGAAAUGACUUAUCUAGUGUUGUUUGGGGUUAGAAUAUGUUAGAAUACAAUGAAUUUGACUGAUUUCAAGUGCUAGAGAUGCAUGAAGAGUGAUUAAAAGUGUGUAGAGAGACUUGCUGAAAUUUGGUCCAAAAUGGGCUAAGAACCCACAACCAUUGCUUUGAAGAAUUAAAUGGAUUGUAUAGUGUUGUUUGGGGUUAGAAUAUGUUAGAAUACAAUAAAUUUGAUUGAUUACAACUGCUAGAGGUGCAUGAAGAGUGUUUAGAAGUGUGGAGAAAGCUUGUUGAAAUUGGGUCCGAGAUGGGCUAAAAACUCGGGAACAUUGCGUUGAACCACGAAAUGACUUAUUUAGUGUUUGUUUGGGGUUAGAAUUUGUUAGAAUACAAUGAAGUUGAUUGAUUAAAAGUAAUAGAGUUAGAUAAAGAGUGUUUAAAAGUGUGUAGGUAGACUUGCUGAAACUUGGUCCAAAAUGGGAUAAGAACCCACAACCAUUGCUUUGAAUAAUUAAAUGGCUUAUCUAAUGUUGUUUGGGACUAGAAUAUGUUAGAAUACAAUAAAUUUGAUUAAUUACAAGUGCUAUAGGUGCAUGAAGAGUGUUUCGAAGUGUGGAGAAAGACUUGUUUAAAUUGGGUCCCAAAUGGGCUAAAAACUCGGACACAUUGCGUUGANNNNNNNNNNNNNNNNNNNNNNNNNNNNNNNNNNNNNNNNNNNNNNNNNNNNNNNNNNNNNNNNNNNNNNNNNNNNNNNNNNNNNNNNNNNNNNNNNNNNAAUGACUUAUUUAGUGUUGUUUGGGGUUAGAAUAUGUUAGAAUACAAUGAAUUUGAUUGAUUUCAAGUGCUAGAGAUGCAUGAUGAGUGUUUGAAAGUGUGUAAAGAGACUUGCUGAAAUUUGGUCCAAAAUUGGGCUAAGAAUCCACAACCAUUGAUUUGAAGCAUUAAAUAGCUUGAAUAGUGUUGUUUGGGGUUAGAAUAUAAUAUAAUACAAUAAAUUUGAUUGAUUACAAGUGCUAGUGGUGCAUGAAGAGUGUUUAGAAGUGUGGAGAAAAACUUGUUGAAAUUGUGUCCCAAAUGGGCUAAAAACUCGGAAACUUCGCGUUGAACCACUAAAUCACUUAUUUAGUGUUGUUUGGGGUUAGAAUUUGUUAUAAUACAAUGAAGUUGAUUAAAUACAAGUAAUAGCGAUAGAUAAAGAGUGUUUAAAAGUGAUUGAUUACAAGUGCUAGAGAUACAUGAAGAGUGUUUAAAUGUGUGUAGAAAGACCUGCUGAAAUUAGGUCCAAAAUGGGCUAAGAACCCACAACCAUUAGUUUGAAGAAUUAAAUGGCUUGUCUAGUGUUGUUUGGGGUUAGAAUAUGUUAGCAUACAAUAAAUUUGAUUGAUUACAAGGGCUAGAAUAAAAUAAAUUUGAUUAAUUACAAGUGCUAUAGGUGAAUGAAGAGUGUUUCGAAGUGUGGAGAAAGACUUGUUGAAAUUGGGUCCCAAAUGGGCUAAAAACUCUGAAACAUUGCGUUGAACCACUAAAUGGCUUAUCUAGUGUUUUUUGGAAUUAUAAUUUGGUAGAAUACAAUGAAUUUGAUUGAUUACAAGUCAUAGAGAUAGAUAAAGAGUGUAAGUGUGGAGGAAGACUUGCUGAAAUUUGGUCCAAAAUAGGAUAAGAACCCACAACCAUUGCUUUGAAGAAUUAAAUGGCUUGUCUAAUGUUGUUUGGGGUUAUAAUAUGUUCGAAUACAAUAAAUUUUAUUAAUUACAAGUGCUAUAGGUACAUGAAGAGUGUUUCGAAGUGUGGAGAAUGACUUGUUGAAAUUGGGUCCCAAAUGGGCUACGAACUCGGAAACAUUGCGUUAAACCACUAAAUGACUUAUUUAGUGUUAUUUGGGGUUAGAAUUUGUUAUAAUACAAUCAAGUUGAUUGAUUACAAGUGAUAGAGAUAGAUGAAGGGUGUUUAAAAGUGUGUAGGAAGACUUGCUGAAAUUUGGUCCAAAAUGGGAUAAGAACCCACAACCAUUGCUUUGAAUAAUUAAAUGGCUUGUCUAAUAUUGUUUGGGGUUAUAAUAUGUUAGAAUACCAUAAAUUUGAUUAAAUACAAGUGCUACAGGUGCAUGAAGAGUGUUUCGAAGUGUGGAGAAAGACUUGUUGAAAUUAAGUCCCAAAUGGGCUAAGAACUCGGAAACAUUACGUUGAACCACUAAAUGACUUAUUUAGUGUUAUUUGGGGUUAGAAUUUGUUAGAAUACAAUCAAGUUGAUUGAUUACAAGUGAUAGAGAUAGAUGAAGAGUGUUUGAAAGUGUGUAGGAAGACUUGCUGAAAUUUGGUCCAAAAUGGGGUAAGAUCCCACAACCAUUGCUUUGAAUAAUUAAAUGGCUUGUCUAAUUUUGUUUGGGUUAGAAUAUUUUAAAAUACAAUAAAUUUGAUUGAUUUCAAGUGCUAGAGAUGCAUGAAGAGUGAUUAAAAGUGUGUAGAGAGACUUGCUGAAAUUUGGUCCAAAAUGGGCUAAGAACCCAGGAAACAUUGCAUUGAACCACUAAAUGACUUAUCUAGUGUUGUUUAGGGUUAGAAUAUGUUAGAAUUCAAUAUACUUGAUUGAUUUCAAGUGCUAGAGAUGCAUGAAGAGUGUUUAAAAGUAUGUAGAGAGACUUGCUGAAAUUUGGUCCAAAAUGGGCUAAGAACCCACAACCAUUGCUUUAAAGCAUUAAAUGGCUUGUAUAGUGUUGUUUGGGGUUAGAAUAUCUUAGAAUACAAUAAAUUUGAUUGAUUAGAAGUGUUAGAGGUGCAUGAAGAGUGUUUAGUAGUGUGGAGAAAGACUUGUUGGAAUUGGGUCCCAAAUGGGCUAAAAACUCGGAAACAUUGCAUUGAACUACUAAAUGAUUAAGUUAAUGUUGUUUGGGGUUAGAAUUUAUUAGAAUACAAUGAAGUUGAUUGAUUACAAGUAAUAGAGAUAGAUAAAGAGUGUUUAAAAGUGUGUAGGAAGACUUGCUGAAAUUUGGUCCAAAAUGGGAUAAGAACCCACGACCAUUGCUUUGAAUAAUAAAAUGGCUUGUCUAAUGUUUUUUGGGGUUGGAAUAUGUUAGAAUACAAUAAAUUUGAUUAAUUCCAAGUGCUAGAGGUGCAUGAAGAGUGUUUAGAAGUGUGGAGAAAGACUUGUUGAAAUUAGGUCCCAAAUGGGCUAAGAACUAGGAAACAUUGCGUUGAACCACUAAAUGACUUAUCUAGUGUUGUUCGGGGUUAAAAUAUGUUAGAAUACAAUGAAUUUGAUUGAUUUCAAGUGCUAGAGAUGCAUGAAGAGUGUUUAAAAGUGUGUAAAGAGACUUGCUGAAAUUUGGUCCAAAAUGGGCUAUGAACUCNNNNNNNNNNNNNNNNNNNNNNNNNNNNNNNNNNNNNNNNNNNNNNNNNNNNNNNNNNNNNNNNNNNNNNNNNNNNNNNNNNNNNNNNNNNNNNNNNNNNUAAAUUUGAUUGAUUACAAGUGUUAGAGGUGCAUGAAGAGUGUUUAGAAGUGUGGAGAAAGACUUGUUGAAAUUGGGUUCCAAAUGGGCUAAAAACUCGGAAACUUUGCGUUGAACCACUAAAUGACUUAUUUAGUGUUUUUUUGGGGUUAGAAUUUGUUAGAAUACAAUGAAUUUGAUUGAUUACAAGUAAUAGAGAUAGAUAAAGAGUGUUUAAAAGUGUGUAGGAAGACUUGCUGAAAUUUGGUCCAAAAUGGGAUAAGAACCCACAACAAUUUUUGAAUAACUAAAUGGCUCGUAUAAUGUUGUUUGGGGUUAGAAUAUGUUAGAAUACAAUAAAUUUGAUUAAUUACAAGUGCUAGAGGUGCAUGAAGAGUGUUUAGAAGUGUGGAGAAAGACUUGUUGAAAUUAGGUCCCAAAUGGGCUAAAAACUAGGAAACAUUGCGUUGAACAACUAAAUGACUUAUCUAGUGUUGUUUGGGGUUAGAAUAUGUUAGAAUAACAUGAAUUUUAUUGAUUCCAAGUGCUAGAGAUGCAUGAAGAGUGUUUAAAAGUGUGUAGAGAGACUUGCUGAAAUUUGGUUCAAAAUGGGCUAAGAACCCACAACCAUUGCUUUGAAGAAUUAAAUGGCUUGUCUUAUGUUGUUUGGGGUUAUAACAAGUUAGAAUACAAUAAAUUUGAUUGAUUAGAAGUGUUAGAGGUGCAUGAAGAGUGUUUAGAAGUGUGGAGAAAGACUUGUUGAAAUUAGGUCCCAAAUGGGCUAAGAACUAGGACACAUUGCGUUGAACCACUAAAUGACUUAUCUAGUGUUGUUUGGGGUUAGAAAAUGUUAGAAUACAAUGAAGUUGAUUGAUUACAAGUGCUAGAGAUACAUGAAGGGUGUUUAAAAGUGUGUUGAAUGACUUGCUCAAAUUUCGUCCAAAAUGGGCUAAGAACCCACAACCAUUGCUUUGAAAAAUUAAAUAGCUUGUAUACUGUUGUUUGGGGUUAUAAUAUGUUAGAAUACAAUAAAUUAGAUAAUUACCAGUGUUAGAGGUGCAUGAAGAGUGUUUAGAAAUGUGGAGAAAGACUUGUUGAAAUUAGGUCCGAAAUGCGCUAAGAACUAGGAAACAUUGCGUUGAACCAAUAAAUGACUUAUCUAGUGUUGCUUGGGGUUAGAAUAUGUUACAAUACAAUGAAGUUGAUUGAUUACAAGUGCUAGAGAUACAUGAAGAGUGUUUUAAGUGGGUAGAAAGACUUGGUGAAAUUUGGUCCAAAAUGGGCUAAGAUCCCACAACCAUUGCUUUGAAGAAUUAAAUGGCUUGUCUAAUGUUUUCUGGGGUUAGAAUAUGUUAGCAUACAAUAAAUUUGAUUGAUUACAAGUGCUAGAGGUGCAUGAACAGUGUUUAGAAGUGUGGAGAAAAACUUGUUGAAAUUGGGUCCCAAAUGGGCUAAAAACUCGGAAACUUCGUGUUGAACCACUAAAUCACUUAUUUAGUGUUGUUUGGGGUUAGAAUUUGUUAUAAUACAAAUAAGUUGAUUAAUUACAAGUAAUAGCGAUAGCUAAAGAGUGUUUAAAAGUGUGGAGAAACACUUGUUGAAAUUAGGUCCCAAAUGGGCUAAGAACUAGGACACAAUGCGUUGAACCACUAAAUGACUUAUCUAGGGUUGUUUGGGGUUAGAAUAUAUUAGAAUACAAUGAAGUUGAUUGAUUGCAAGUGCUAGAGAUGCAUGAAGAGUGUUUAAAAGUGUGUAGAGAGACUUGCUGAAAUUUGGUCCAAAAUGGGCUAAGAACCCACAACUAUUGCUUUGAAGCAUUAAAUGGCUUUUAUAGUGUUGUUUGGGGUUAGAAUAUGUUAGAAUACAAUAAAUUUGAUUGAUUACAAGUGCUAGAGGUGCAUGAAGNNNNNNNNNNNNNNNNNNNNNNNNNNNNNNNNNNNNNNNNNNNNNNNNNNNNNNNNNNNNNNNNNNNNNNNNNNNNNNNNNNNNNNNNNNNNNNNNNNNNGUUGAAAUUUGGUCCAAAAUGGGACAAGAGCCCACAACCAUUGCUUUAAAGAAUUAAAUGGCCUGUCUAAUGUUGUUUGAGGUUAGAGGAUGUUAGAAUACAAUAAAUUUGAUUGAUUACAAGUGCUAGAGGUGCAUGAAGAGUUUUUAGAAGGGUGGAGAAAGACUUAUUGAAAUUGGGUCCCAAAUUGGCUAAGAAAUAGGAAACAUUGGGUUGACCCACUAAAUGACUUAUCUAGUGUUGUUUAAGGUUAGAAUAUGUUAGAAUACAAUGAAUUUGAUUGAUUGCAAGUCCUAGAGAUCCAUGAAGAGUGAUUAAAAGUGUGUAGGAAGACUUACUGAAAUUUGGUCCAAAAUGGGAUAAGAACCCACGACCAUUGCUUUGAAUAAUAAAAUGGCUUGUCUAAUGUUUUUUGGGGUUGGAAUAUGUUUUACAAUAAAGUUGAUUAAUUCCAAGUGCUAGAGGUGCAUGAAGAGUGUUUAGAAGUGUGGAGAAAGACUUGUUAACAUUAGGUCCCAAAUGGGCUAAGAACUCGGAAACAUUGCGUUGAACCACUAAAUGACUUAUUUAGUGUUGUUU